This 528-nucleotide ribosomal RNA is filed under the name Triticum aestivum (bread wheat). Its description in RNAcentral is "partial small subunit ribosomal RNA". Lineage: Eukaryota; Viridiplantae; Streptophyta; Magnoliopsida; Poales; Poaceae. The record is from RNAcentral.
AUGGGUUGUCCACUGUUCGAUUGGCUUAUUGGGAGGAAUGGAAUAAACAGUAUGGAAGGAAAUUGCAAUAUACAAAUGGUAUGGGUAGAUCCGAUGCUAAUCCUGUUUGGAGCAAGAUUUGGAAGCUAUCUUGUUCGGGAAAGACAUGUGAUGGUCCCUCCCAUUUACCCAACAUGUUCAAAUGGGCUAGAAGACACGAAACACGUCUUGUUUCUGUGUCCGAAGGCAAAAGAGGUCUGGAAUAAGUUAGGUUUGUAUGAGGUGAUCAACAAAGCUUGUGUUGUUGACCGGGCGGGAGAGGCGGAAAGUCUCAAGAUGCAUGCGAUGGGGGCCCAUGCUAUAGCGGCAAAUUAUGUUAAAGCAAACUCCCCUAAGGCAAUCAAUAAGAAAAGGGGAUGGCUUAGACCUCCUAUGGGCUUGAGGAAGCUGAACGUUGAUGCUUCUUUUGGCCAUGAUCUUCUUAGAGGCACGACGGGGGCAGUCCUGAGAGAUGACAAAGGAAGGUUCAUUGUUGGCGGAAGUUGGUGA